UACGUAGGGGGCGAGCGUUUGUCCGGAGUUACUGGGCGUAAAGCGCACGCAGGCGGUCUGCUAAGUUUGGAGUGACAGUUGGUGGCUUAACUGCCAAAGUGCUUCGAAAAACUGACAGACUUGAGGGCUUCAGAGGGACACGGAAUUCCGGGUGGAGUGGUGAAAUGCGUAGAGAUCCGGAGGAACACCAAAGGCGAAGGCAGUGUCCUGGGGAGUACCUGACGCUCGAGGUGCGAAAGCCAGGGGAGCGAACGGG
Molecule: ribosomal RNA, 256 nt
Filed under: uncultured bacterium
Lineage: Bacteria
Description: partial 16S ribosomal RNA
Rfam family: Bacterial small subunit ribosomal RNA
Source: RNAcentral